GGAAAUCUCACCAGGUCCAGACACAAUAAGGAUUGACAGAUUGAGAGCUCUUUCUUGAUUUUGUGGGUGGUGGUGCAUGGCCGUUCUUAGUUGGUGGAGUGAUUUGUCUGCUUAAUUGCGAUAACGAACGAGACCUUAACCUGCUAAAUAGCCAGGCCCGCUUUGGCGGGUCGCCGGCUUCUUAGAGGGACUAUCGGCUCAAGCCGAUGGAAGUUUGAGGCAAUAA
This 226-nucleotide ribosomal RNA is filed under the name uncultured eukaryote. RNAcentral's name for it is "partial 18S ribosomal RNA". It matches the Rfam family "Eukaryotic small subunit ribosomal RNA", at positions 1208 to 1456 of the family's 1831-position model. The record is from RNAcentral.